This 470-nucleotide ribosomal RNA is filed under the name uncultured bacterium. RNAcentral describes it as "bacterial SSU rRNA". It matches the Rfam family "Bacterial small subunit ribosomal RNA", at positions 329 to 793 of the family's 1533-position model. The record is from RNAcentral.
CUACGCACUCCUACGGGAGGCAGCAGUGGGGAAUAUUGCACAAUGGGCGCAAGCCUGAUGCAGCCAUGCCGCGUGUAUGAAGAAGGCCUUCGGGUUGUAAAGUACUUUCAGCAGUGAGGAAGGUGGGUAUGUUAAUAGCAUAUUCAUUUGACGUUAGCUGCAGAAGAAGCACCGGCUAACUCCGUGCCAGCAGCCGCGGUAAUACGGAGGUGCGAGCGUUAAUCGGAAUUACUGGGCGUAAAGCGCAUGCAGGUGGUUUGUUAAGUCAGAUGUGAAAGCCCGGGGCUCAACCUCGGAAUUGCAUUUGAAACUGGCAAACUAGAGUACUGUAGAGGGGGUAGAAUUUCAGGUGUAGCGGUGAAAUGCGUAGAGAUCUGAAGGAAUACCGGUGGCGAAGGCGGCCCCCUGGACAGAUACUGACACUCAGAUGCGAAAGCGUGGGGAGCAAACAGGAUUAGAUACCCUGGUAG